RNAcentral lists this transfer RNA (71 nucleotides) under Lachnospiraceae bacterium. RNAcentral's name for it is "tRNA-Gly". It matches the Rfam family "tRNA". Rfam says of the family: Transfer RNA (tRNA) molecules are approximately 80 nucleotides in length. Their secondary structure includes four short double-helical elements and three loops (D, anti-codon, and T loops). Lineage: Bacteria; Bacillati; Bacillota; Clostridia; Lachnospirales; Lachnospiraceae. The record is from RNAcentral. RNAcentral also lists the same sequence under 5 other names.
GCGGCUGUAGUACAUCGGUAGUACGCUGGCUUCCCAAGCCAGAUAGGCGGGUCCGACUCCCGUCAGCCGCU